UACGGAGGAUGCAAGCGUUAUCCGGAUUUAUUGGGUUUAAAGGGUCCGCAGGCGGACCAAUAAGUCAGGGGUGAAAUCCGGCAGCUUAACUGUCGAAUUGCCUUUGAAACUGUUGGUCUUGAAUAAGAAUGAAGCAGCUGGAAUGUGUGGUGUAGCGGUGAAAUGCAUAGAUAUCACACAGAACAUCGAUAGCGAAGGCAGGUUGCUAAUUCUUUAUUGACGCUGAGGGACGAAAGCGUGGGGAGCAAACAGG
This 253-nucleotide ribosomal RNA is filed under the name uncultured bacterium. Its description in RNAcentral is "partial 16S ribosomal RNA". It matches the Rfam family "Bacterial small subunit ribosomal RNA", at positions 524 to 776 of the family's 1533-position model. The record is from RNAcentral.